AGAGGGAGGGGAGAGACAGAAAGAGGAGAGAAACUUCUGGGCUUUCAUUUAACAUGUGCACUCUGCCUUCUCUCUUGUCCCCUCUGCAGUCCUUUUCCUCCCAGCUGUCACAGUGCCACCUCCUCUGGCCAGUCCUGUCUGGACACCCUGUCUGACCUUGAACUAUCUCUCAAUCCUUCCGGGUAUUGCCUCAGCCAGCCAGGGAGAGCCUGGUCCUGGCAGAGGCUGUGUUGAAAAUAAUUCACUCUGAAAGCUAGGCUUGUUCUCUUCAAAGGGUGAAGCAAGCUAGACAGAAGGGAUGAGGGAGUUCCCCCCAGCCCCCACCCCCUCACAAGCCCUCUCUUGGAACCUACACUUCCCCCUCCCCGGGAUGACCUCUGUCCUUGAUGAAAUGGGAGAAACAGAACAGCAAGGCUUGUUUCCUUUCCAAAUGAAAAGAUGGACACCCUGAAGUGCAUUUUAAUCACUCUCUGGCAAGUGUGGGGUGACUGGGGGAGGGGAGGAGGCUGACUUGCCCUUUCUCUGCCAGUUCUCUGGGAACCUAGCCCAUCCGUAUUUCUCCAUAAAACUUGAAGGGCAGUGUAUCAUUGUGGGAGAGAUACUGCAGUUUCCCCAGACAGAAACCUAUCCCUUCUUAAGGGUCUUCAUUUACAAGGAGUGAGGAAGAAACCUUCUUCAUGGGCAUUUUCACCAGGUGUCUGACACACAAGAGUGACAGGCCUGUUCCUAAAGUUGGCUGAAACUCCUGCCACUGCAGCCCUCAGGAAGGGGGGACAAGGAUAGCGGCAGGGAGCACAUCGGCCACAUGAUCCUUCCCAGUCACAAGGGGAGAAACCCCAAACACUCUGCUCUCCGAGUCCAUUCCUGAACCUGGCUCAGGCCCCGACUCAGAAUAGACUCCCUGGCUCCUGGCCAACUGUCCUGCUGUGGUCUCCAGAUAAGGCAUCACAUGUUGCACACCCUGGGUCAACGCCUAGCAGAUGAUGUGCUGGGAACCAUAUGAGUGUUUUAAAGUUUCAGAAAAAUUCACGUUGCAAAAGGCUUUCUCAGAAAGGCUCUGUCCACUUGCAGUGGGUAUGGCAGCCUGUCAUACUUUUCAAGGUGUUUCUCAGCCAAGCUUCACUACAGCCCAAUAGGAUCAGUGGGGCCGAUAUGAUGAUUCAUAUUUUGGAAGCUGGAAGAACUGAAGUGCAAAGAGGUUACAAAAGGGACCUCCAGGCAUGGCCAUGGACCACGUGCCAUCCAGAUGAAUGUGAAUGAAGCGUUUGAAAUUAGUGUGUAACUCUCCUCAUCCCCUUCCUCGUGGUGUAGUCUUUGUGGAAGCCUAGGCUGAGAUGGAGCCUCUGUUCAGGGCUCCUCUGAUGAGGGGUAUGCCUCUGCCAACCUAUGGCGAAGGUGGUGUGAACAGGAGCUAGAUCUUAAUUUGUUUAACCCAUUAAUAGGUCAGAGCUUUGUUAUCAUAGCAAAACCUAGCUUAUCCUAACCUUAGACAUUUAUAAAAAUAAAUCAAUCUUUUAAGUGGAA
Cervus elaphus (red deer) is the source of this 1524-nucleotide long non-coding RNA. RefSeq lists it as uncharacterized. The record is from RefSeq and is a predicted model, not a curated record. Lineage: Eukaryota; Metazoa; Chordata; Mammalia; Artiodactyla; Cervidae. The transcript has 5 exons.